Molecule: microRNA precursor, 98 nt
Filed under: Felis catus (domestic cat)
Lineage: Eukaryota; Metazoa; Chordata; Mammalia; Carnivora; Felidae
Also listed under: 4 other names
Description: mir-544 microRNA precursor family
Rfam family: mir-544 microRNA precursor family
Source: Rfam by way of RNAcentral
AUCCCCUGGGGAUCUUGUUGAAUUGCAGAUUCGAAUUCAGUAGGUUUGGGGUGGGGCCUAAAAUUCUGCAUUUCUAGCAAGGUCUCAGGGGAUGCUAA